AGAGUUUGAUCAUGGCUCAGAAUGAACGCUGGCGGCGUGCUUAACACAUGCAAGUCGAGCGAGGCGGAAGGGGGCAACUCCUUCCAGUCGAGCGGCGGACGGGUGAGUAACACGUGGGUAACCUGCCCGGAAGUGGGGAAUACCUCGGGGAAACUCGAGCUAAUACCGCAUGACAUCUUCGGGACGAAAGUCCUGACGAUCAAAGCGGGGUCGCAAGAUCUCGCGCUACCGGAUGGGCCCGCGCCCGAUUAGCUAGUUGGUGAGGUAACGGCUCACCAAGGCUUCGAUCGGUAACCGGCCUGAGAGGGCGAUCGGUCACACCGGAACUGAGACACGGUCCGGACUCCUACGGGAGGCAGCAGUGGGGAAUCUUGCGCAAUGGGCGAAAGCCUGACGCAGCAACGCCGCGUGGAGGAUGAAGGCCCUUGGGUUGUAAACUCCUGUCGGCUGGGAAGAAAUCGUUCGGGGCUCAUACCCCCGGACGUUGACUGUACCAGCAAAGGAAGCCCCGGCUAACUCUGUGCCAGCAGCCGCGGUAAUACAGAGGGGGCCAGCGUUAUUCGGAAUUAUUGGGCGUAAAGGGCGCGUAGGCGGCCAUGCGUGUCUUCCGUGAAAUCCCUCGGCUUAACUGAGGACGUGCGGAAGAAACUGCAAGGCUCGAGUCCGGGAGAGGGGGGUGGAAUUCCCAGUGUAGCGGUGA
This 700-nucleotide ribosomal RNA is filed under the name uncultured bacterium. RNAcentral's name for it is "bacterial SSU rRNA". It matches the Rfam family "Bacterial small subunit ribosomal RNA", at positions 8 to 684 of the family's 1533-position model. The record is from RNAcentral.